GCGGCGCCCCCUGAGGGCGCAGCCCCGUGCGCCCCGCACCUCUGUCCACCGCGAGCUGCAAAGUGCGGGGCCGCCUGAGGAGCGGGGCGCGGGAGUGGAAGUCGCCUGAAGGCAGGAGGGUCGCUUUGGCCCCAGCAGUCCCCAAAGCGCCAAGAAACCAGGUGACGCGGAAGCCCCAGCGAAGCCUGCUUGGGAGGCCAAGCCUGACGGAGCACUGGGCUCCCGCCCUCCUCGGGACCCCAGGAAUAGACCUGGAAGAGCUUGAAACCUCUCCCAGGGUGCUGGUCGAACUCCACUAAAUUGAUUUCAUGACACUAAUGGGAUGAAAAGCACAGUUUGUGAGGACUUGCUUUUUUCACACACGAAGCCUGCUCACAGAAAAUGAAUGCCAGGACAUACCUCCCUUCUGCUCGUCCAAGGAGUUUGAGGUCUCCUCCGGCCUGGGCACGGCAGGAAGUCUUGAUUUCUUUGCUUGAGGUUGGAGUGGAGAUUGGCGUUUGGGGGCCAUGCUGCUAGGAAAGUCCCAGAAGCAGAUCCGAGGGAAAGGUGCGCCUGGAAGAGACUCUGAGGACUGAGGCUGCCAGGUGACCCAGCUUUAAAUCUGCUCUGGAGCCGCGGGGCCUGGAGGGGAUAUUUACAUGACAGUGGAACACACACCCAUUCCCCCUCCCCCAGCCUCAUCCUCCCUACCCACCCUCCAAUCAAGAUCAAAUUCCUUUAGUUGCUCCCAGCGUUUCUCUACUGGGGCCUUCUGGGCAUUGGAUGGGUGGGGGAGGUAUUUCCUUGUGGGGAGUAGCGCUCUCCGCUCUCUGGCACUCUCCUGGUCUAACUUGAAACACAAGCAGCCCAUCCCCCAGUCCUUUUCCCAGUCCUCUAGGAUUAGGCCCCCUUUGAGAACUUGUGUUUUUUUUGUUAAACUAUGGCCUCCAGAAGAUGCUAUUUCCUCACCUCAGUCAGGAACAUUCUUCAGUAUUUCCGCCCCCAACCCCCAUAUCUCACUAAUUCCUUCCCCACUUCUGGGUCUCCGCUGAAGGGAUAAAUGCAUGUCCAAAUAAAGGAGUCCCAAACAAGAAUUACAAAGGAAAGGGGGGAAAGUAGGCACCCCUGAGAGGAGUUAAAAGGGCCAACCAUUCACCACUCAUUUCAAAGACGGCAUCUUGUCUGGGCAGAGGCUCUCAAACCCCAGUGCCUUUGGGAACCUUCAGGUGAUCACUGUGAGUAAGACCGGCCACUGGCGGUGACAACAGCCAGGGGCAGGGAGGUGGCACAAGCGCCUGAGGCACUGUGCUGGUCACAGUUUGGCUGCAGUUCCGCUCCUGACAGAAAUACACCAAUAUGUGUGGUCAGUGUAGAAGAGAGUUCACAGCAGCAGAGUCCUAGUAGCCAGAUCUCUGAAAACAAUACAAAUGUCUAUCAAAUACGAAAAAGUGAAUGGAGCCCUUGGAAGCACUGCCCAGAGCGGAGGUGACAGAAGAGUGACCCCACAGGAACCUCAGCCACUUGCUGCAUCUGCCUCCAGUACAAUAAGAGGCAAACCUGAUCCCCUCUGUUAUAAUUCCAGAGCGGGGAUUUCCCUUGUCAUGGGGAGUCACUGGAAGGGGGCAGUAGGGUCUCCAGAGCGCUGGCUACACCCCCUUUCUGGGUCUGGGGAUUGCUGCACUAUUGGGUUUGCUGUGCAAAACCUGCAUCGCCAGGUCUUUAUUUUCUAAAGAAAAGCCAGCGAUUUCUGUGGGAAAGCUCUGGAUUUUUAAAAGUUAGUAACUAAUUAAAUGUUUUAAAACACACUUUGUAGGGCCUCCCUGGUGGCACAGGGGUUAAAGACACAGCAUUAUCAAGCUAUCACCAGCCAUUGCAACAUGAGUUCUAUCCUGGCCAGGGAGCUGACCCACAUAGCACAGCAGACCUCUCCUGUCUCGCCCCCUGCUCCCCUCAGCAGUGUCCUUCGGUCCAUCUGCCUGUUCCCUCCCGCACCUCUGACCUGUACCCCAGUUCUUGUAUAAAUAAAUAAAAUAAUUUAAAAA
Molecule: long non-coding RNA, 2021 nt
Organism: Talpa occidentalis (Iberian mole)
Lineage: Eukaryota; Metazoa; Chordata; Mammalia; Eulipotyphla; Talpidae
Exons: 3
Source: RefSeq, a predicted model, not a curated record